RNAcentral lists this transfer RNA (70 nucleotides) under Dussumieria elopsoides (slender rainbow sardine). Its description in RNAcentral is "tRNA-Asp". It matches the Rfam family "tRNA". Rfam says of the family: Transfer RNA (tRNA) molecules are approximately 80 nucleotides in length. Their secondary structure includes four short double-helical elements and three loops (D, anti-codon, and T loops). Lineage: Eukaryota; Metazoa; Chordata; Actinopteri; Clupeiformes; Dussumieriidae. The record is from RNAcentral.
AAGACACUAGUAAAACACAUUACAUUGCCUUGUCGAGGCAAAAUUGUGGGUUAAAGCCCCGCGUAUCUUA